RNAcentral lists this ribosomal RNA (710 nucleotides) under Metridia longa. RNAcentral describes it as "eukaryotic LSU rRNA". It matches the Rfam family "Eukaryotic large subunit ribosomal RNA", at positions 38 to 667 of the family's 3401-position model. The record is from RNAcentral. Lineage: Eukaryota; Metazoa; Arthropoda; Copepoda; Calanoida; Metridinidae.
GCAUAUCAAUAAGCGGAGGAAAAGAAAACAACAGUGAUUUCCUUAGUAAUGGCGAAUGAAACGGAAACAGCCCAUCGCCGAACGGCAGGCCCUCUCGGUCUCGCUGAAUGUGGCGUUUGGGAGAGUCUUAUCGCGGUGUGGACGGCCAGUCAAAGUCCAACUUGACAGUGGCCAUGGCCCAUAGAGGGUGCUAGGCCCGUAAGGCGGCUGUCCCACUGUGCUGACUUUUCCCUAGAGUCGGAUUGCUUGGGAGUGCAGUCCAAAGUGCGAGGUAAACUCCUCGUAAGGCUAAAUAUGACCCCGAGUCCGAUAGCAAACAAGUACCGUGAGGGAAAAUUGAAAAGAACUUUGAAGAGAGAGUUCAAGAGUACGUGAAACCGUCUAGCGGUAAAGAGAGGGGUUCUCGAAGUUUCUGAGGGGGACUCAACCUUGGUGGUGCUUGGCCUGGGCGUAUUUGAUCAGCAAUGACUUUGCGUUUAGUCCCGAGUACCUCCCGGAUGCACUUUCUCCUCAGUUUACGGCAGGAACCGUUAGGAGCGGACUGAAGGCUCAGGGUGAAGUUGUCGGUUAUGCUGGCAGCCCUUGGUGUCCUAGCUUCGCAUCUGACGGGUAUGUAAGUAAACUCGUAUAGCGAGCAAUUCUCUAUUGCGGUUUGCAUCUCUCUGCCGAGUAGGUCGGUGGCCCCUCUCACCCGUCUUGAAACACGGACC